CACUCUGGACUCGUGGCAAAGUCUGACCUUAGCUGCAGAGCCAUGGCCAUGCAAACAUCCUGCCAACAGCCACAGGGCCAGAGAAGCCUGAGCCCCGCUAAAGGCCCUCUACAUGGUCCCUUCUGGGCCCACCUUGCACCACCAGCCUGGUCUUUGCCAUGGCACUGCCCACACUGUUCUGGGCAAUGCAGAAGUAGUUCCCGGCAUCCUCUGGGCUGGUGUGCGUGAUCCACAGCUGGCCGUUGGACUCACCGAGGACGGUCACCUGGUAGCGCCUGCGGGACUCGCCCACCUCGUUGUUCACCACACACUCAAACUGGGCUGAGUCCUGAGGGCCAGGAGCCGCAAGGAGCAGGGCAUUGGAAGGCAGGAGCCUGGGGCAGACAAAUGGAUGGCCGAAGUGAGCAGCCUGGGGGGACUCAAGUUCUGUUCCCAUCAUGCAUGUCAAGUGAUUGACAACUGCCAAUAACUCCAGCUCCAGGGGAUCUGAGACCCUCUUCAGCCCCGUGGGUAACUGCACACAUUUGGGAUCCAUAUAUUCAACACAGCCAACAUCAUACACAUUGGAGAAAAAAAAAAUUUCUUCUAGAACUUUCUACUCUUAUGAAGUCUCAGCUCUUGGACUUGUGAUUUACUUCUGUUCCCAUCCAUGUUUCUCUGCCUCCUGCAUGUUUGGGACCGUGAUUCAGAUUAUGACAACUGAUCUCCAAUCAGAAGUGAUGAGAUACACAAAACGCUUCUGAUGGUCACUAACCAUCGGCUGUGUGUGAGACACGGGCAACACUCGAAGGCUCUCAGAAGCAGCCACAGGGUUCAUGUGUGCCCAACAAAUAGCCUGCCAUUGAGGUUCCCCUAGUACUCUCAUGCCCUGUUUUCAAUGUGCUGAACGAAUCCCUGGUGUUUCUCUGUGGGGGCCAUGUGUUCCCGCACCUCAUCUCUGGCCAGGUGAUCCUAUCUGCUCCAGUGGCACCCCGAGGUCUGGGACCCUCCUCACUGACCCUGCCACACUCUGUAGGGUGGGGUCCCCCAACCUCCCAUGUCUCGCCAUUGUAGACGGACUGUUUGUUACCGGUAGGUGUCUUGCUGCCGGCGGAAGUCCAGCUUCUGCCCAUCCUUCCACCAGCUCACCAGGGG
Molecule: non-coding RNA, 1134 nt
Organism: Myodes glareolus (Bank vole)
Lineage: Eukaryota; Metazoa; Chordata; Mammalia; Rodentia; Cricetidae
Source: RefSeq, a predicted model, not a curated record